GAAAUGCGAUACUUGGUGUGAAUUGCAGAAUCCCGCGAAUCAUCGAGUUUUUGAACGCAAGUUGCGCCCGAAGCCAUUCGGCCGAGGGCACGUCUGCCUGGGUGUCACGCAUCGUUGCCCCCCCAAACCCCGGUUCGGGCGGGGCGGAAGUUGGCCUCCCGUGCGCGCCUGCGCGCGCGGUUAGCCCAAAAGCGAGUCCUCGGCGACGAGCGCCACGACAAUCGGUGGUUUUUCGACCCUCGUUCCACGUCGUGCGCGCCCCGUCGCCCGAACUCUUGCGACCCUUACGCGUUGCCUCGGCGACGCUCCCAACGCGACCCCAGGUCAGGCGGGACUACCCGCUGAGUUUAAGC
RNAcentral lists this unclassified non-coding RNA (353 nucleotides) under plant metagenome. RNAcentral describes it as "partial contains 5.8S ribosomal RNA, internal transcribed spacer 2, and large subunit ribosomal RNA". The stretch from base 1 to 107 matches the Rfam family "5.8S ribosomal RNA", at positions 50 to 154 of the family's 154-position model. The record is from RNAcentral.